Molecule: ribosomal RNA, 253 nt
Filed under: uncultured bacterium
Lineage: Bacteria
Description: partial 16S ribosomal RNA
Rfam family: Bacterial small subunit ribosomal RNA
Source: RNAcentral
UACGUAGGUGGCAAGCGUUGUCCGGAAUCACUGGGCGUAAAGCGCGCGCAGGCGGCGAUCUACGUCUGGGGUGAAAGCCCGGAGCUCAACUCCGGGACUGCCUUGGAUACGGGAUCGCUUGAGGAUUGGAGAGGCAAGGGGAAUUCCACGUGUAGCGGUGAAAUGCGUAGAUAUGUGGAGGAACACCUGCGGCGAAGGCGGGUUGCUGGGCCGACACUGACGCUGAGGCGCGAAAGCCAGGGGAGCGAACGGG